RNAcentral lists this microRNA precursor (104 nucleotides) under Canis lupus familiaris (dog). Its description in RNAcentral is "mir-8834 microRNA precursor family". It matches the Rfam family "mir-8834 microRNA precursor family". The record is from Rfam by way of RNAcentral. Lineage: Eukaryota; Metazoa; Chordata; Mammalia; Carnivora; Canidae. RNAcentral also lists the same sequence under 1 other name.
AGGAGGAACAGCCGCAGUGGCGGGGCCAGCUCUGCAGCCCUGGUGUCAGCUCCCGCAGUACCUCCGGAGCUCUCCUCUGCAGGGCCUGGAGGCUCCGGAGCGGU